This is a non-coding RNA of Eumeta japonica, 72 nucleotides long. NCBI's taxonomy places the organism in Eukaryota, Metazoa, Arthropoda, Insecta, Lepidoptera, Psychidae. The record is from the annotation of a GenBank genome assembly.
UUCUCGGUAGUACAGUGGUCAGUAUCGCCGCCGGUCACGCGGGAGACCGGGGACCGAUUCUCUGCCGGGGAA